Long non-coding RNA from Sorghum bicolor (sorghum), 1000 nucleotides. RefSeq lists it as uncharacterized. The transcript has 5 exons. The record is from RefSeq and is a predicted model, not a curated record. Lineage: Eukaryota; Viridiplantae; Streptophyta; Magnoliopsida; Poales; Poaceae.
CUCUCGGUCUCUUCCUCUCGAAGCUUCCCCUCCCGCAGCCUCUAUCGCUCCGCCUCGAUCUAGCCCAGCGCCGCCCCUUCCUCCGGCGCUGCCCCUGCUUCCGGCGCCGCCUCCUCCCCGCCCUCCCCCUCCUCCCCCACACGCGCCAUGCGGCGCGCACCAGCCUGCGCCGACGGACAACGACGGCGCGCCCCAACCCCGUUGCCUCCGCUCGGCGUCGUGUGAUGUCCGCCCUACGUCAAUCGGCAUGCUGGCGCAAACGCCAGCACCAACUCCGCCUCCAUCUCGCUGCGUGAUAAUUUGUCCAAGGAUCCAAUCCUGCUUCCACCGCUUCGGUAGAUUUUCCCAUGUUUGAUAAUCUGCUUUGUUCUGUGUCCAUGGACCCACAGGCCGCAGCAAUGUUGGUAGUAUGCUCUCCCUCGCCCAGCACCUCCAGUCGCGCAACCCCGCUGCAGCAACCUUGAAAUUGCUUAAAUGAGUUGUCGUGGAGGUUGUGAAAAGGAUGAGUUAUCCCUAGUAGCAGAUAUACUGGCUCAGGAUAUUCAUUAGCUUCCCAUGAGUUAAGUGAACAUGUGUUGCUGCUAUCAAUGUGUUGACUUCAAUGCAGAGGUUUAAGGAACUAAAGGAAGGAAGACAGAUAAGCCGUGUUGAGCUCUAUAGCAACACAUACAGAACAAAUGGGCAGCCAAUUGAUGACUAAAGCUUUGAAAAAAUACAGCUUGAUUAUUUGUCAGUCAUAAAACAGAUGAUGCUGGUGCUCGUUUAAUCAACUUGAUUCAGAGAUAUAUCAGCUCUGGGUUAUCUGAAUCAUGGAAGCUUUCUCCCUCUACUUCUUUAUCUACAUCUUUUGUUGCACUACUUCCAUUUGCAUCAUUUAAGAUUGGGGACCUACACAAAAGGACUUGGGAAUAUCAUUUGAAGAUAGAUAUUUGAUUAUUUUUCUACCUUAUUGAUUGUGUUUGGUACAAAUAUAACUCUGUAUGCCAGAAAGAUUUAAAUG